GAGCGGUAGCACAGGAGAGCUUGCUCUCUGGGUGACGAGCGGCGGACGGGUGAGUAAUGUCUGGGAAACUGCCUGAUGGAGGGGGAUAACUACUGGAAACGGUAGCUAAUACCGCAUAAUGUCUUCGGACCAAAGUGGGGGACCUUCGGGCCUCAUGCCAUCAGAUGUGCCCAGAUGGGAUUAGCUAGUAGGUGGGGUAAUGGCUCACCUAGGCGACGAUCCCUAGCUGGUCUGAGAGGAUGACCAGCCACACUGGAACUGAGACACGGUCCAGACUCCUACGGGAGGCAGCAGUGGGGAAUAUUGCACAAUGGGCGCAAGCCUGAUGCAGCCAUGCCGCGUGUAUGAAGAAGGCCUUCGGGUUGUAAAGUACUUUCAGCGAGGAGGAAGGCGUUAAGGUUAAUAACCUUAGCGAUUGACGUUACUCGCAGAAGAAGCACCGGCUAACUCCGUG
This 454-nucleotide ribosomal RNA is filed under the name uncultured bacterium. RNAcentral describes it as "bacterial SSU rRNA". It matches the Rfam family "Bacterial small subunit ribosomal RNA", at positions 64 to 507 of the family's 1533-position model. The record is from RNAcentral.